CCUACGGGUGGCAGCAGUGGGGAAUAUUGGGCAAUGGGCGCAAGCCUGACCCAGCAACGCCGCGUGAAGGAAGAAGGCCCUCGGGUUGUAAACUUCUUUUAACAGGGACGAAGAAAGUGACGGUACCUGUUGAAUAAGCCACGGCUAACUACGUGCCAGCAGCCGCGGUAAUACAUAGGUGGCAAGCGUUGUCCAGAAUGACUGGGCGUAAAGGGAGCGUAGGCGGUCUGUUAAGUUGGAAGUGAAAUCCCGGGGCUCAACCCCGGAACUGCUUUCAAGACUGACGGACUUGAGUGUAAGAGGGGUAAGCGGAAUUCCUAGUGUAGCGGUGGAAUGCGUAGAUAUUAGGAGGAACACCAGUGGCGAAGGCGGCUUACUGGAUUAUAACUGACGCUGAGGCUCGAAAGCGUGGGUAGCAAACAGGAUUAGAUACCCGAGUAGUC
Molecule: ribosomal RNA, 443 nt
Filed under: uncultured bacterium
Lineage: Bacteria
Description: partial 16S ribosomal RNA
Rfam family: Bacterial small subunit ribosomal RNA
Source: RNAcentral